RNAcentral lists this unclassified non-coding RNA (174 nucleotides) under Paecilomyces lagunculariae. RNAcentral's name for it is "partial internal transcribed spacer 2". The record is from RNAcentral. Lineage: Eukaryota; Fungi; Ascomycota; Eurotiomycetes; Eurotiales; Thermoascaceae.
CUAACCCUCCAGCCCGGCUGGUGUGUUGGGCCGUCGUCCCCUCCGGGGGACGGGCCCGAAAGGCAGCGGCGGCGCCGCGUCCGGUCCUCGAGCGUAUGGGGCUUUGUCACGCGCUCUAGUAGGCCCGGCCGGCUUGCUGGCCAACGACCUCACGGUCACCUAACUUCUCUCUUA